CGAACGCUGGCGGCAGGCCUAACACAUGCAAGUCGAACGCCCUAGCAAUAGGGAGUGGCAGACGGGUGAGUAACACGUGGGAACCUUCCCUAUAGUACGGAAUAGCUCAGGGAAACUUGAAGUAAUACUGUAUACGCCCGAGAGGGGAAAGAUUUAUCGCUAUAGGAUGGGCCCGCGUCGGAUUAGCUAGUUGGUGAGGUAAUGGCUCACCAAGGCGACGAUCCGUAGCUGGUUUGAGAGAACGACCAGCCACACUGGGACUGAGACACGGCCCAGACUCCUACGGGAGGCAGCAGUGGGGAAUAUUGGACAAUGGGCGCAAGCCUGAUCCAGCCAUGCCGCGUGAGUGAUGAAGGCCUUAGGGUUGUAAAGCUCUUUUAGCAGGGAAGAUAAUGACUGUACCUGCAGAAUAAGCUCCGGCUAACUUCGUG
This 431-nucleotide ribosomal RNA is filed under the name uncultured bacterium. Its description in RNAcentral is "bacterial SSU rRNA". It matches the Rfam family "Bacterial small subunit ribosomal RNA", at positions 30 to 507 of the family's 1533-position model. The record is from RNAcentral.